GUAGGGAAUAUUGGACAAUGGGGGCAACCCUGAUCCAGCGACGCCGCGUGAGUGAUGAAGGCCUUCGGGUCGUAAAGCUCUGUUGCAGGGGAAGAACACAAUGACGGUACCCUGCUAGAAAGGAUCGGCUAACUUCGUGCCAGCAGCCGCGGUAAGACGAGGGAUCCUAGCGUUGUUCGGAAUUAUUGGGCGUAAAGCGGGUGCUGGUGGCUUGGUAAGUCAGAUGUGAAAGCCUGGGGCUUAACCCCAGAAGUGCAUUUGAUACUGCUGAGCUUGAGUGCUGGAGAGGCUAUUAGAAUUCCUGGUGUAGUGGUGAAAUACGUAGAUAUCAGGAGGAAUACCGGAGGCGAAGGCGGAUAGCUGGCCAGACACUGACACUCAGACCCGAAAGCAUGGGGAUCAAACAGGAUUAGAUACCCUGGUAGUCC
This 428-nucleotide ribosomal RNA is filed under the name uncultured bacterium. Its description in RNAcentral is "bacterial SSU rRNA". It matches the Rfam family "Bacterial small subunit ribosomal RNA", at positions 354 to 796 of the family's 1533-position model. The record is from RNAcentral.